AGUGAACGCUGGCGGUAGGCCUAACACAUGCCAGUCGAACGGCAGCACAGUAAGAGCUUGCUCUUACGGGUGGCGAGUGGCGGACGGGUGAGGAAUAAAUCGGCAUCUACUUUUUCGUGGGGGAUAACGUAGGGAAACUUACGCUAAUACCGCAUACGACCUACGGGUGAAAGCGGGGGAUCUUCGGACCUUGCGCGAUUGAAUGAGCCGAUGUCGGAUUAGCUAGUUGGCGGGGUAAAGGCCCACCAAGGCGACGAUCCGUAGCUGGUCUGAGAGGAUGAUAAGCCACACUGGAACUGAGAGACGGCACAGACUCCUACGGGAGGCAGCAGUGGGGAAUAUUGGACAAUGGGCGCAAGCCUGAUCCAGCCAUACCGCGUGGGUGAAGAAGGCCUUCGGGUUGUAAAGCCCUUUUGUUGGGAAAGAAAAGCAGCAGGUUAAUCCCCCGCUGUUCUGACGGUACCCAAAGAAUAAGCACCGGCUAACUUCGUG
RNAcentral lists this ribosomal RNA (492 nucleotides) under uncultured bacterium. RNAcentral's name for it is "partial 16S ribosomal RNA". It matches the Rfam family "Bacterial small subunit ribosomal RNA", at positions 29 to 507 of the family's 1533-position model. The record is from RNAcentral.